CCUACGGGUGGCAGCAGUGGGGAAUAUUGGGCAAUGGAGGCAACUCUGACCCAGCAACGCCGCGUGAAUGAUGAAGGUCUUCGGCUUGUAAAGUUCUUUUCUAAGGGAAGAAGAAAAUGACGGUACCUUAGGAAUAAGCUUCGGCUAACUACGUGCCAGCAGCCGCGGUAAUACGUAGGAGGCAAGCGUUAUCCGGAAUGACUGGGCGUAAGGGGUGCGUAGGUGGUUUGACAAGUUAGUAGCGCAACUCCGGGGCUCAACGGCGGAACUACUACUAAAACUGUUGGACUUGAGUGCAGGAGGGGAGAGCGGAAUUCCUAGUGUAGCGGUGGAAUGCGUAGAUAUUAGGAGGAACACCAGUGGCGAAGGCGGCUUGCUAGACUGUAACUGACACUGAGGCACGAAAGCGUGGGGAGCAAACAGGAUUAGAUACCCCUGUAGUC
This 443-nucleotide ribosomal RNA is filed under the name uncultured bacterium. RNAcentral's name for it is "partial 16S ribosomal RNA". It matches the Rfam family "Bacterial small subunit ribosomal RNA", at positions 338 to 795 of the family's 1533-position model. The record is from RNAcentral.